This 506-nucleotide ribosomal RNA is filed under the name uncultured Desulfosarcina sp. Its description in RNAcentral is "bacterial SSU rRNA". It matches the Rfam family "Bacterial small subunit ribosomal RNA", at positions 29 to 507 of the family's 1533-position model. Lineage: Bacteria; Pseudomonadati; Thermodesulfobacteriota; Desulfobacteria; Desulfobacterales; Desulfosarcinaceae. The record is from RNAcentral.
AUGAACGCUGGCGGCGUGCUUAACACAUGCAAGUCGCACGAGAACGUUUCAGCUUGCUGAAACUAGUAAAGUGGCGCACGGGUGAGUAACGCGUGGGUAAUCUACCUCCGAAUUGGGGAUAACAUUGCGAAAGCGAUGCUAAUACCGAAUGACAUCUCAAUCACUUCGGUCUUUGAGAUCAAAGGUGGCCUCUGCAUGGAAGCUACUGUUUGGAGAUGAGCCCGCGUACCAUUAGCUUGUUGGUAGGGUAAUGGCCUACCAAGGCGACGAUGGUUAGCUGGUCUGAGAGGAUGAUCAGCCACACUGGAACUGACACACGGUCCAGACUCCUACGGGAGGCAGCAGUGAGGAAUUUUGCGCAAUGGGGGAAACCCUGACGCAGCAACGCCGCGUGAGUGAUGAAGGCUCUCGGGUCGUAAAGCUCUGUCAAGUGAGAAGAACCUGCCCUUUGCUAAUAUCACUGGGCACUGACGGUAUCACUGAAGGAAGCACCGGCUAACUCCGUG